AUACGUAGGGGGCGAGCGUUGUCCGGAAUGAUUGGGCGUAAAGGGCGCGUAGGCGGCCCGGUAAGUCUGGAGUGAAAGUCCUGUUUUUAAGAUGGGAAUUGCUUUGGAUACUGUCGGGCUUGAGUGCAGGAGAGGUAAGUGGAAUUCCCAGUGUAGCGGUGAAAUGCGUAGAGAUUGGGAGGAACACCAGUGGCGAAGGCGACUUACUGGACUGUAACUGACGCUGAGGCGCGAAAGUGUGGGGAGCAAACAGGAUUAGAUACCCUGGUAGUCCACACUGUAAACGAUGAAUGCUAGGUGUAGGGGGUAUUGACCCCUUCUGUGCCGCAGUCAACACAAUAAGCAUUCCGCCUGGGGAGUACGGCCGCAAGGUUGAAACUCAAAUGAAUUGACGGGG
This 397-nucleotide ribosomal RNA is filed under the name uncultured bacterium. RNAcentral describes it as "partial 16S ribosomal RNA". It matches the Rfam family "Bacterial small subunit ribosomal RNA", at positions 523 to 918 of the family's 1533-position model. The record is from RNAcentral.